This is a long non-coding RNA of Cynocephalus volans (Philippine flying lemur), 1911 nucleotides long. RefSeq lists it as uncharacterized. Lineage: Eukaryota; Metazoa; Chordata; Mammalia; Dermoptera; Cynocephalidae. The transcript is spliced from 3 exons. The record is from RefSeq and is a predicted model, not a curated record.
GGAAGCCCAGGUGAUGGCAGCCAUAGCCCUGAAAACCUGGCACCAGGAUACCCAGUUUGCAAACUCCCUGAUCUCACUUCUGGAGGGAGGAGAUUUGCCUUGGGGCCUGGAGGCACAGGAUGCUCCCCCUGCAGAGAGGACCAGAGACAUCUGUAUAGGAUUCCCAAUGUCGCAUUGAAUAGUAGCGGUAAAAGGAGACAUACCUGGGCCAACCCCGUGGCUCACUCGGGAGAGUGUGGCACUGGGAGCGCAGCAGCACUGGAGCGUCGAGGCCGCGGGUUCGGUCCUAUAUAGGGAUGGCCGGUGCGCUCACUGGCUGAGCGCGGUGCGGGCGACACCAAGGGAAAGACAUUCUUUCACUGUUAAGUAUGUUUUCAGCUUCAAGGAGAGAAUAACAUUAAAUCCUAUGUCAUUAUAGCUACUGCAGUACAAUAUUUAGUUUAACCAUACAUAUUUUUUGGCAGCCAAGGCAAAAAUGACUUUGUGUACAAAACUUAAGUUCCACUAUAACUUCAACCCAGUUUUGGCUGUUUUUUGACAAAACCCAGUUUCGUCCAGAAAUCCGUGAAAGCAGUUGUAUUUUCCCACUAUUUUCAAGUCAGGAAUAACAGUAAACACUCCAUGGUCUAUCUAUAUCCUGGGUCCCAUGAUCUUAUAUUACUCAUGGUCUAGGUUAAAGAUAGGUAGUGCAGGGAGUUAGAGGGAGAGCUGGAUAUUUAGGCUGUGAGGUAACCAGAAGGAGAGGAGGUAACAAGAAGGAGAGGUGGUUCCCACUGGAAUUAAGCAGUGGCCAAGGCUAUAAAAUAGUAUGUUUGAUAAUAGAGAUUAUUACAGACAUGAGUAUGAGUAUACAUUUCUUUUUUGUUUUGUUUUAUUUUUAUUGAUUAUGAAUAUUCAUGGGGUACAAAGCAAAUUGUCACCACUUGUGCCCAAUAUGUGAUGGCCAGAACCAUACUGGCAGCAUGUCCAUUACUACAAAUUGUGAUUAUACCCCAUGUCCCCCACCCAAUUAUCCCCUCAAUUGUCCCCAACCUCCCUCCCAUCCCCCUUUCCCCACUCCACUUUGUAUCCCUAGGUCUGUUCUCUCCCUCUGCAAGUCCAACACACCACUGUGGUCUUUCUUUCCUUUCUAGUAUACAUUUCUUUAGAGGUGGUACAAUGGUGGGAAAACAGGCCAGCACUGAUUAGUUAUUAUUAUUAAUGAACUUGAAAACUCACUGGGAGACAUUCUACACUGGGAGUGGAAAUUAUCUCACUAACUAUUUAAGAAAAAAGAGGAUUUCAGGAUGCCUACCCUUCUCCCCAUUCAAAUUUUCCUAAGGAUAUUGGAUUAGAGUCUUGGUCAGGGAAACCCAGAUUGCAAAAUCCUAAGAGAAAUUUAUUUCUAAAUAUCAAGAGAACAGAGUAAUAAUGGACUCUAAUUCAUAAAAAUGUGACUACACAAGAAAUAAGCAAAUGCUAUUUAAUUUCUAAUUCUUCUCAUGAGUCACCUGCUACAAUAAUUGUUCACCUGCCAUUUACCUCCUGCAGUAAUUUAGAAGAAAUUACUAAGCUGAAGAAAUAAGACUUGCAUAAAAUCAAUAAAGUAUCAUGGAACAGGGCACCUAACUAUGAGCAUUGUUAGCUAGACUUGAAGAAUGGUGCAAUAUGUAGUUUUUCUAAAGCUCCUAAAAUUACAAUUCAAAUCACACUGCUUCUCUGCCUGGAGUGUGCAUUCACUAGGAAUAAUUGAACAUUUCUCCUUACUGGGGUAUUUUCUGUUUUUGUUGGGUUUGCACAUAUUAAAAGUACAGUGUCCCCCUUUCUCUCCACUCCCUGCAAAAAAGAAAAAGAAAAAAAAAUCAAGCUAUACCCAAUUCUUGACACUAACUAAACACACAGGUUCCCAUGAUUCUAAAGACUGUAAUAAAA